GAGUUUGAUCCUGGCUCAGGACGAACGCUGGCGGCGUGCCUAAUACAUGCAAGUCGAGCGGACCGGAUCGGAGCUUGCUCUGAUUUGGUCAGCGGCGGACGGGUGAGUAACACGUGGGCAACCUGCCCGCAAGACCGGGAUAACUCCGGGAAACCGGAGCUAAU
Molecule: ribosomal RNA, 164 nt
Filed under: Geobacillus stearothermophilus
Lineage: Bacteria; Bacillati; Bacillota; Bacilli; Caryophanales; Anoxybacillaceae
Description: partial 16S ribosomal RNA
Rfam family: Bacterial small subunit ribosomal RNA
Source: RNAcentral